RNAcentral lists this ribosomal RNA (372 nucleotides) under uncultured organism. Its description in RNAcentral is "bacterial SSU rRNA". It matches the Rfam family "Bacterial small subunit ribosomal RNA", at positions 526 to 896 of the family's 1533-position model. The record is from RNAcentral.
CAGAGGGUGCGAGCGUUGUCCGGAAUCACUGGGCGUAAAGGGCGCGUAGGCGGUUUUGUAAGUUGGGGGUGAAAUGCUGCGGCUCAACCGCAGUGCUGCCCUCAAGACUGCAAGACUUGAGCACGGUAGAGGCGGAUGGAAUUCCCGGUGUAGCGGUGGAAUGCGUAGAGAUCGGGAAGAACACCAAUGGCGAAGGCAGUCCGCUGGGCCGUUGCUGACGCUGAGGCGCGACAGCGUGGGGAGCAAACAGGAUUAGAUACCCUGGUAGUCCACGCCGUAAACGAUGGGCACUAGGCGUCGGGGGGAGCGACCCUCCCGGUGCCGUCGCUAACGCAGUAAGUGCCCCGCCUGGGGAGUACGGCCGCAAGGUUG